Molecule: ribosomal RNA, 548 nt
Filed under: uncultured Bifidobacterium sp.
Lineage: Bacteria; Bacillati; Actinomycetota; Actinomycetes; Bifidobacteriales; Bifidobacteriaceae
Description: bacterial SSU rRNA
Rfam family: Bacterial small subunit ribosomal RNA
Source: RNAcentral
CUCCUGGAAACGGGUGGUAAUGCCGGAUGUUCCAGUUGAUCGCAUGGUCUUCUGGGAAAGCUUUCGCGGUAUGGGAUGGGGUCGCGUCCUAUCAGCUUGACGGCGGGGUAACGGCCCACCGUGGCUUCGACGGGUAGCCGGCCUGAGAGGGCGACCGGCCACAUUGGGACUGAGAUACGGCCCAGACUCCUACGGGAGGCAGCAGUGGGGAAUAUUGCACAAUGGGCGCAAGCCUGAUGCAGCGACGCCGCGUGAGGGAUGGAGGCCUUCGGGUUGUAAACCUCUUUUAUCGGGGAGCAAGCGUGAGUGAGUUUACCCGUUGAAUAAGCACCGGCUAACUACGCGCCAGCAGCCGCGGUAAUACGUAGGGUGCAAGCGUUAUCCGGAAUUAUUGGGCGUAAAGGGCUCGUAGGCGGUUCGUCGCGUCCGGUGUGAAAGUCCAUCGCUUAACGGUGGAUCCGCGCCGGGUACGGGCGGGCUUGAGUGCGGUAGGGGAGACUGGAAUUCCCGGUGUAACGGUGGAAUGUGUAGAUAUCGGGAAGAACACC